This 250-nucleotide ribosomal RNA is filed under the name uncultured bacterium. RNAcentral describes it as "partial 16S ribosomal RNA". It matches the Rfam family "Bacterial small subunit ribosomal RNA", at positions 524 to 773 of the family's 1533-position model. The record is from RNAcentral.
UACGUAGGGUGCUAGCGUUGUUCGGAAUCAUUGGGCGUAAAGCGCGUGUAGGUGGUCAGUAAAGUUGGGUGUGAAAUCCCUCGGCUCAACCGAGGAAGUGCACUCAAAACUCACUGGCUUGAGAGUGGUAGAGGAAGGUGGAAUUCCUAGUGUAGAGGUGAAAUUCGUAGAUAUUAGGAGGAAUACCGGAGGCGAAGGCGGCCUUCUGGACCAUUUCUGACACUGAGACGCGAAAGCGUGGGUAGCAAAC